UUAAUACUCUCUCCGUCCGAAAAAGUUUGUCCCUCAAAUGGAUGCACCUAGCACCAAGUUAGUGUUGAUACAUCCAUUUAAGACACAAGGUUGGGACAAGUUUUUUCGGACGGAGGGAGUAGCAU
Non-coding RNA from Triticum aestivum (bread wheat), 125 nucleotides. The record is from Rfam. NCBI's taxonomy places the organism in Eukaryota, Viridiplantae, Streptophyta, Magnoliopsida, Poales, Poaceae.